This 364-nucleotide long non-coding RNA is filed under the name Homo sapiens (human). RNAcentral describes it as "non-protein coding lnc-FSCN3-6:1". The record is from RNAcentral. Lineage: Eukaryota; Metazoa; Chordata; Mammalia; Primates; Hominidae.
UUUAAGCCUCAUUCUGUCAUAGGUUACAAUCCUUUGGGGGGCAGAGAUGUGUUGUUAGUUCGCUGAAAGUAGAAUUUAAUUGGCUAUUCUACAGAAUAAUGAUUUUUAAUUUGGCAAGAGAGUCAUGAUGCAGUCAGCCUUUUAGGUCUUUAAAGUUGUAUGGAAGUUAAAGAAAGUAACCAAACCUUACUUGGAACACUUGGCUCCUCCCUCUGCAAAGCAGGGCUGUAGACCUCUGUGUGUGAUUGUGGGUUGGGCACACUGGAGCUUCUGGCCAUCAUGAGUAGCUGUAGUGGGGGCAGGGAGAGUGAGGGUUGUCUGCUUCACCACUGACCUUUUCCAGUGGCCUGGACUGAGUUUUUCA